RNAcentral lists this ribosomal RNA (491 nucleotides) under uncultured bacterium. RNAcentral's name for it is "partial 16S ribosomal RNA". It matches the Rfam family "Bacterial small subunit ribosomal RNA", at positions 28 to 507 of the family's 1533-position model. The record is from RNAcentral.
GAUGAACGCUAGCGAUAGGCUUAACACAUGCAAGUCGAGGGGUAACGUGUUGGAAGCUUGCUUCCGAUGACGACGACCGGCGGAUGGGUGCGUAACGCGUAUGCAACUUGCCUCACAGUGUAGAAUAACCCGGAGAAAUCCGGACUAAUACUCCAUACACUCUUAAGUACGCCUGUACAUGAGAGGAAAGAUUUAUCGCUGUGAGAUAGGCAUGCGUCCUAUUAGGUAGUUGGUGAGGUAACGGCUCACCAAGCCGACGAUAGGUAGGGGUGCUGAGAGGUAGAUCGCCCACAUUGGGACUGAGACACGGCCCGAACUACUACGGGCGGCAGCAGUGAGGAAUAUUAGUCAAUGGAAGAAACUCUGAACCAGCCAAGUCGUGUGAAGGAAGAAUGUCCUGAGGAUUGUAAACUUCCUUAGCGAGCGAGUAAGGACUUCCACGUGAUGGGAGUUUGAAAGUAGCUCGAGAAUAAGUAGCGGCUAACUCCGUG